Molecule: non-coding RNA, 77 nt
Filed under: Dehalobacter sp.
Lineage: Bacteria; Bacillati; Bacillota; Clostridia; Eubacteriales; Desulfitobacteriaceae
Description: c-di-GMP sequence
Rfam family: c-di-GMP-I riboswitch aptamer
About the family: GEMM was predicted in a large-scale screen for bacterial structured RNA regulatory elements. Genes associated with GEMM are involved in a diverse array of functions, including chemotaxis regulation, signal transduction, secretion and chitin.
Source: RNAcentral
UACUGACAAUGGCGAACCUGAUAAAAAGUAGGGACGCAAAGCUAAAGGGCCUGUAAAAUGGCAGCCAAGUUGCCAAA